CAGAAAUUUAUUUCUCACAGAUUGGGAGCCUGGAAGCCUGAGAUCAGGGCGCCACCAUGGUCAGAUCUUGGCCAGCUCAUCGAUGCCUUCUUCUCUGAUGACUGUGCUGUCGACGUCAAAGCAGACUGCAUCUGCUGAGCAGAAGACUUUCCUCAACUCUGAGUGGGAGACCAUCCUUAGGAGAAUAUUCCUCCUACAACAAAAAGUGAUAAAUAUACUUAAAGACAUAAAAUACAGGCCAGCCAGUCCCUGGAGUCACAGUAUCUACUUUCUUGCUCUCUUUGCAAACAAUUGUUUUGGGUACAAUGCUGCUUUAGGUCCAGUCCAAAGGUUAUUUGGCCCAGUUUUAACAUUACAAAGCCUCGAGACACGCUGGGCAAGGCAGUCCCUCUGGAAUGACAGCUCCAACCCUAUUUUAAAGUGGCUCCAAUUGGCCCUGACCCCCGUGGCUCAGUUGAUUGGGUGCCAUCCCACAAGGCAGAAGGUCACCAGUUAAACUGCUGGUCCGGGCACAUGCCUGGGUUGUGGGUUCCGCGUCCCUGAUUGGGCCGAUCAGUGUUUCCCCCUCACAUUGAUGUUUCUCUCC
Phyllostomus hastatus (greater spear-nosed bat) is the source of this 586-nucleotide long non-coding RNA. RefSeq lists it as uncharacterized. NCBI's taxonomy places the organism in Eukaryota, Metazoa, Chordata, Mammalia, Chiroptera, Phyllostomidae. The transcript has 3 exons. The record is from RefSeq and is a predicted model, not a curated record.